This is a non-coding RNA of Triticum urartu, 135 nucleotides long. The record is from Rfam. NCBI's taxonomy places the organism in Eukaryota, Viridiplantae, Streptophyta, Magnoliopsida, Poales, Poaceae.
CUUGUACUCCCUCCGUCCCAAAAUUCUUGUCUUAGAUUCAUCUAGAUACGAAUGUAUCUAAUACUAAAACGUGGCUUGAUACAUCCAUAUUUAGACAAAUCUAAGACAAGAAAUUUGAGACAGAGGGAGUAGUGU